This 287-nucleotide ribosomal RNA is filed under the name uncultured bacterium. Its description in RNAcentral is "partial 16S ribosomal RNA". It matches the Rfam family "Bacterial small subunit ribosomal RNA", at positions 511 to 793 of the family's 1533-position model. The record is from RNAcentral.
GCAGCCGCGGUAAGUACGGAGGGUGCGAGCGUUAAUACGGAGUUACUGGCGUAAAGACGCAUGCAGGUGGUUUGUUAAGUCAGAUGUGAAAGCCCGGGGCUCAACCUCGGAACUGCAUUUGAAACUGGCAGACUAGAGUACUGUAGAGGGGGGUAGGAAUUUCAGGUGUAGCGGUGAAAUGCGUAGAGAUCUGAAGGAAUACCGGUGGCGAAGGCGGCCCCCUCGGACAGAUACUGACACUCAGAUGCGAAAGCGUGGGGAGCAAACAGGAUUAGAUACCCUGGUAG